GACGAACGCUGGCGGCGUGCUUAACACAUGCAAGUCGAACGGAAAGGCCCUGCUUUUGUGGGGUGCUCUAGUGGCGAACGGGUGAGUAACACGUGAGUAACCUGCCCUUGACUUUGGGAUAACUUCAGGAAACUGGGGCUAAUACCGGAUAGGAGCUCCUGCUGCAUGGUGGGGGUUGGAAAGUUUCGGCGGUUGGGGAUGGACUCGCGGCUUAUCAGCUUGUUGGUGGGGUAGUGGCUUACCAAGGCUUUGACGGGUAGCCGGCCUGAGAGGGUGACCGGCCACAUUGGGACUGAGAUACGGCCCAGACUCCUACGGGAGGCAGCAGUGGGGAAUAUUGCACAAUGGGCGGAAGCCUGAUGCAGCAACGCCGCGUGCGGGAUGACGGCCUUCGGGUUGUAAACCGCUUUCGCCUGUGACGAAGCGUGAGUGACGGUAAUGGGUAAAGAAGCACCGGCUAACUACGUGCCAGCAGCCGCGGUGAUACGUAGGGUGCGAGCGUUGUCCGGAUUUAUUGGGCGUAAAGGGCUCGUAGGUGGUUGAUCGCGUCGGAAGUGUAAUCUUGGGGCUUAACCCUGAGCGUGCUUUCUAUACGGGUUGACUUGGGGAAGGUAGGGGAGAAUGGAAUUCCUGGUGGAGCGGUGGAAUGCGCAGAUAUCAGGAGGAACACCAGUGGCGAAGGCGGUUCUCUGGGCCUUUCCUGACGCUGAGGAGCGAAAGCGUGGGGAGCGAACAGGCUUAGAUACCCUGGUAGUCCACGCUGUAAACGGUGGGUACUAGGUGUGGGGUCCAUUCCACGGGUUCCGUGCCGUAGCUAACGCUUUAAGUACCCCGCCUGGGGAGUACGGCCGCAAGGCUAAAACUCAAAGGAAUUGACGGGGCCCCGCACAAGCGGCGGAGCAUGCGGAUUAAUUCGAUGCAACGCGUAGAACCUUACCUGGGUUUGACAUGGAUCGGGAGUGCUCAGAGAUGGGUGUGCCUCUUUUGGGGUCGGUUCACAGGUGGUGCAUGGCUGUCGUCAGCUCGUGUCGUGAGAUGUUGGGUUAAGUCCCGCAACGAGCGCAACCCUUGUUCACUGUUGCCAGCACGUUAUGGUGGGGACUCAGUGGAGACCGCCGGGGUCAACUCGGAGGAAGGUGGGGAUGACGUCAAGUCAUCAUGCCCCUUAUGUCCAGGGCUUCACGCAUGCUACAAUGGCUGGUACAGAGAGUGGCGAGCCUGUGAGGGUGAGCGAAUCUCGGAAAGCCGGUCUCAGUUCGGAUUGGGGUCUGCAACUCGACCUCAUGAAGUCGGAGUCGCUAGUAAUCGCAGAUCAGCAACGCUGCGGUGAAUACGUUCCCGGGGCU
This 1346-nucleotide ribosomal RNA is filed under the name uncultured bacterium. RNAcentral's name for it is "partial 16S ribosomal RNA". It matches the Rfam family "Bacterial small subunit ribosomal RNA", at positions 28 to 1381 of the family's 1533-position model. The record is from RNAcentral.